UUUGUGACAUUCAAGUGGAGAAAGGAAAUGUCCUAUUAAAACUGAAGCAAACUGGAUGUUUGUCUUGUAUCUUCAGAAGAAA
Small nucleolar RNA from Sorex araneus (European shrew), 82 nucleotides. The record is from Ensembl. Lineage: Eukaryota; Metazoa; Chordata; Mammalia; Eulipotyphla; Soricidae.